RNAcentral lists this transfer RNA (72 nucleotides) under Deltaproteobacteria bacterium. RNAcentral describes it as "tRNA-OTHER". It matches the Rfam family "tRNA". From Rfam's summary of the family: Transfer RNA (tRNA) molecules are approximately 80 nucleotides in length. Their secondary structure includes four short double-helical elements and three loops (D, anti-codon, and T loops). Lineage: Bacteria; Pseudomonadati; Myxococcota; Myxococcia. The record is from RNAcentral.
CAGCGUGUAGCUCAGUUAGUAGAGCCUCGGGCUGGUACCCGAUGGGCGCAGGGGCAGAACCUGCCACGCUGU